Molecule: ribosomal RNA, 275 nt
Filed under: uncultured bacterium
Lineage: Bacteria
Description: partial 16S ribosomal RNA
Rfam family: Bacterial small subunit ribosomal RNA
Source: RNAcentral
CGGAAAGAUCUGUCUUAGUGGCGGACGGGUGAGUAACGCGUGGGCAACCUGCCCUGUACCGGGGGAUAACACUUAGAAAUAGGUGCUAAUACCGCAUAAUAGGGAAUACCGCAUGGUAAUCCUUUGAAAACUCCGGUGGUACAGGAUGGGCCCGCGUCCGAUUAGCCAGUUGGCGGGGUAACGGCCCACCAAAGCGACGAUCAGCAGCCGGCCUGAGAGGGUGGACGGCCACACUGGGACUGAGACACGGCCCAGACUCCUACGGGAGGCAGCAG